Long non-coding RNA from Cotesia glomerata, 1776 nucleotides. RefSeq lists it as uncharacterized. The transcript is spliced from 2 exons. The record is from RefSeq and is a predicted model, not a curated record. NCBI's taxonomy places the organism in Eukaryota, Metazoa, Arthropoda, Insecta, Hymenoptera, Braconidae.
GGAGUCAAAGAAGCGUGGGUGGGAGUCACUCCGCGAGCCGCUCCAGGCAGAAUCGACCGGCAAGUUGCCGCGCCAGGCAGACCGACCCAACGGGAAUACUUAAUGCUGUCGCGUACCCACCGCUUGACGAUUGAAUGAAGAGGAGGUUAUAAACAAGGAUGCUAGGAUGCUAGAUGCUACCAUCUAGAUCCUAACUGAGCUUCUGAGCAAGAGAGAGAGAUUCUCAUACCGGAUGAGCUUUUGAGGGUGCCUACUUGUUACGCCUCAACGUGUCAUUCCAAAUUGACCUUUUCAAACUAAAGAUUAUGGUCAGUUGACUUCUGCCGGAGACAGCGCACGUGUAUCGUUAUCUAGAGGGCAUUCGGCAGCUGUCAACCACCUCGAGGCGAUUACCAGAAGGUACAGUCACUCAACUGGCUGACCAAACUGGCCCGUUACUGCUUCCAGCUAUAUAGUUAAGGGUUUGAGGCACCUUGCGUCUCUACUGGCGGUUCGCCAGGCGCGAACUACUCGCUCAGCGCGAAAGAACCCCCACGGAGGAAAAAAAAACCCCGAGGAAAAAAACAUGGAAACAGAGAGGAGGCUAACUCAAUGUAGAAAAGAUUUCAUUGAGCAACGACGGUAUGAUCUGGCAGCCUGCCAAUAGUACACCCCCUCGCGCUCCAUCUGUGUAUAUCUAUAUAUCGAGGGAAUUCGAAGUUCGAGAGUCGAAAGGCUGACCAGUCGAGCACGAAACGACUGAGAAGUGCAUCUCGUUUCAAACUCUGAUGUUUCCUACCAGUGUGUGUUUAUGUCUAUCUGCAGAUCUUCUAUCCAGGGAUGUGUGUGUCUUGCAUGUAGGGCGAGGGGUGACGGGAGGCUAAAAGAUCGAUCGGAUAGAAAUUGUGAGCUCAAAAGUUCAACCACGUUAUAAAUUUGUAUUCAUCUAUCAAUCUAAUGUAUUUUUCCGAUAGUAAUUUAAUAAAACUCUAUAUAUUUAUGCCGGCUAUGCUUCAUAAAAAUAGUUCAGAUGUAAUGCAUGCAUUGAAAUCCAUUCUCAUGUCAGUUUUUUCUAGAUUCACUUGCUAUAUCCUGGAAAUAAGCUUGUGGUGAGAAAUAAAGUCUUUUUCGCUUCUACAAGUGUUGAUCUACGGAUUGGGACCUGGUCUAUCAGCGUUAUGCAUGGUAUGGACAUCAACUUUGGAAAUUUUUAUUCUUUAGACUUCCCUCUAGCAGCCUAUCUUCGGAAAACUCAAAAUUUUCCUUUCCUUCCCAAUUAAACCAAGCCCAAAAGUCAAAAAACCACACUUAUUAUAGGUAAUUUUUUAAUUUUAGCACUUUUCUUAGCUUAAAGCGUUUUAAGCAAGUAAGUAUUGGAUUGUUAACAUAUUUGCUCUUAAUUUUGACUAGCAUUAAGAAUAUUUCAACUAUCUGCGGAAGAACGAACUUAAAUUGCGAAAGACAUUGGUGCACAAUAUUAGAUUUUGGCAUAUUAAAUCUUCCAGAGGAACUGAGUUUACUUAGAGUUAUUGUUCUAUUUGUACUAACGAUCUCUUUGUCUCUCAUUCAUCCUUUGUCAAAAGCCACUCGGAAUAAUAACAACAAUAAUGGCAACAAUAACAAUAAUUUGUAACAACAUUUUAACGAGUAUGUCAUUACAUUAUCUUCUACCACUCGGAACGUUAAAAUGCCGAGUAGUAAGGCGAGAAUUAUCCUCGGAAGGUGUUUUGUUGGAUUCCGGCAUUACACCUUUUGUGUCGGAAUAGCACGGAAAAUUCAAUUUUAUAACAACACACC